CAAUAGCGUAUAUUUAAGUUGUUGCAGUUAAAAAGCUCGUAGUUGGAUUUCGGGUGGGACGCAGCGGUCUCGCAUUGCGUUUGUACUGCUGCAGCCCUCCUUCUUGCCGGGGGCGGCCUCUCGGACUUCACUGUCUGGGGGUCAGAAUCGGCGAUGUUACUUUGAGUAUAUUAGAGUGUUCAAAGCAAGCUUACGCUCUGAAUAUAAUAGCAUGGGAUAACACGACAGGACUCUGGCCUAUCGUGUUGGUCUAUAGGACCAGAGUAAUGAUUAAGAGGGACAGUCGGGGGCAUUCGUAUUCCGUUGUCAGAGGUGAAAUUCUUGGAUUUACGGAAGACGAACAUCUGCGAAAGCAUUUGCCAAGGAUGUUUUCAUUGA
This 378-nucleotide ribosomal RNA is filed under the name uncultured eukaryote. Its description in RNAcentral is "partial 18S ribosomal RNA". It matches the Rfam family "Eukaryotic small subunit ribosomal RNA", at positions 592 to 976 of the family's 1831-position model. The record is from RNAcentral.